Molecule: regulatory RNA element, 46 nt
Organism: Culex pipiens (northern house mosquito)
Lineage: Eukaryota; Metazoa; Arthropoda; Insecta; Diptera; Culicidae
Rfam family: Histone 3' UTR stem-loop
About the family: The mRNAs of metazoan histone genes lack a poly-A tail. 3' end processing occurs at a site between a highly conserved stem-loop (modelled by this family) and a purine rich region around 20 nts downstream (the histone downstream element, or HDE). The stem-loop is bound by a 31 kDa stem-loop binding protein (SLBP - also termed the histone hairpin binding protein, or HBP).
Source: Rfam
CAAACGGCCCUUUUCAGGGCCACCAAAUAUCUCACGAAAGAGUUGG